Molecule: ribosomal RNA, 910 nt
Filed under: Salmonella enterica
Lineage: Bacteria; Pseudomonadati; Pseudomonadota; Gammaproteobacteria; Enterobacterales; Enterobacteriaceae
Also listed under: 3 other names
Description: bacterial SSU rRNA
Rfam family: Bacterial small subunit ribosomal RNA
Source: RNAcentral
ACCUUCGGGCCUCUUGCCAUCAGAUGUGCCCAGAUGGGAUUAGCUUGUUGGUGAGGUAACGGCUCACCAAGGCGACGAUCCCUAGCUGGUCUGAGAGGAUGACCAGCCACACUGGAACUGAGACACGGUCCAGACUCCUACGGGAGGCAGCAGUGGGGAAUAUUGCACAAUGGGCGCAAGCCUGAUGCAGCCAUGCCGCGUGUAUGAAGAAGGCCUUCGGGUUGUAAAGUACUUUCAGCGGGGAGGAAGGUGUUGUGGUUAAUAACCGCAGCAAUUGACGUUACCCGCAGAAGAAGCACCGGCUAACUCCGUGCCAGCAGCCGCGGUAAUACGGAGGGUGCAAGCGUUAAUCGGAAUUACUGGGCGUAAAGCGCACGCAGGCGGUCUGUCAAGUCGGAUGUGAAAUCCCCGGGCUCAACCUGGGAACUGCAUUCGAAACUGGCAGGCUUGAGUCUUGUAGAGGGGGGUAGAAUUCCAGGUGUAGCGGUGAAAUGCGUAGAGAUCUGGAGGAAUACCGGUGGCGAAGGCGGCCCCCUGGACAAAGACUGACGCUCAGGUGCGAAAGCGUGGGGAGCAAACAGGAUUAGAUACCCUGGUAGUCCACGCCGUAAACGAUGUCUACUUGGAGGUUGUGCCCUUGAGGCGUGGCUUCCGGAGCUAACGCGUUAAGUAGACCGCCUGGGGAGUACGGCCGCAAGGUUAAAACUCAAAUGAAUUGACGGGGGCCCGCACAAGCGGUGGAGCAUGUGGUUUAAUUCGAUGCAACGCGAAGAACCUUACCUGGUCUUGACAUCCACGGAAGUUUUCAGAGAUGAGAAUGUGCCUUCGGGAACCGUGAGACAGGUGCUGCAUGGCUGUCGUCAGCUCGUGUUGUGAAAUGUUGGGUUAAGUCCCGCAACGAGCGCAACCC